Long non-coding RNA from Drosophila yakuba, 4260 nucleotides. RefSeq lists it as uncharacterized. Lineage: Eukaryota; Metazoa; Arthropoda; Insecta; Diptera; Drosophilidae. The record is from RefSeq and is a predicted model, not a curated record. The transcript is spliced from 2 exons.
AGUUGCCUGCAAAACGGCUGAGAAUGCAAGUUCGAAUUUUGCUUAGUCCAGCUCACAGAGUUGCAAGACAAAAAGGAAACUAAAGCGACAAAUUACAUUUUUCCAGAUGAAACUAAAAAGUCUCCACAGAAGGGGUCACUUUGUGUCUCAAUGAGGGCAUUCUAAGCCCUUUCCGUUUGAUUGGCAGCCUGUUUAAAAUUUAUACUCUCAAAUUGUCAGAAGGGGCGCCCAAUUGUAUUAGAAAAUAGUCAGAGUGCUCUUGGUUAUGCUGCAAGUAGAUAGUUUGAACUCAUUUGAUUGCUAUUUUGAAUUAAUUGUGCCAUUCAUUAUUUGGGACCCAAUAAGCAUAAUAGGAGCACAAUCAGCAGACGUAAAAAUCAACUGUCCUUUGGCAUUUCGUGUGUGUUUGCACUGCCAAUUGCCAAUGCACAGCAUGCAAAAUUGGAAAUGCAAAUGCUAAGUAAAUAAUGUCAUUGCAAAAACUGCAAAUGCAAACAGCAAACGGCAAAUGGCAACGGCAAAUGAUGUGGCCGAGCCAGAAUCGGCGGUAACAAUCAGCAGGGCAGGCGCAAAUCGCAUUAGUUCGCUCCCGUGGCCUUCGAGUCCAUCCACAGCAGUAAUCGAAUGUGAAGCAGUGGUAUCCACUAUAUAUGGACUCGACAAAAUGCAUUUUCAAUACUCGACCAAAUUUACCCGCUCCUUUAAUUCUCCUGCCUAUUGUGCCGUACAAAUAUUCCAAAAUGCAUAGACUUUCGAGCAAUUGAAGCCCAAUCAAAAGAACGCGAGAGUCCUCCAAAUCGACGUUGGCAUUUGUGACGAGUGCAUCCAGGCCAAAGUCAUAAAUUGCGCUAAAAUUGAGAAUCGUUCUUGGCUUCGGUAUCGGUUUAUUUGGUGGGUUUGGGCUAGGGUUUGCGCUGGAACAGUUUGCCAGUUUGCCUAUGCAUGUUAAAUGAAAUUAUUGCAACUUUUUGCCCGGGCCACAUGGCGAAUGCGCAACUCUCGCUCAAUUCAUCAAUCACCGAAUUGGUCCCGAUGCUCAUGCUUUCUGCUCGCUAAAAAAUGGUUUAGAUUUAUGCGACUGUUGCCGCAGUCCAGUUUAUUUUUUGCGUGGCAAAACUUUAUGUUUGUUUUAAGUUCUUUUCGCUUUCAUUGCGCGCAGCACACUACAUUUCAUUUUGGCCACUUAAGCUUGAAUUUUGUUUCGGCACAGCAAGAGGAGCAAGUAUUUUUCUAGCAAAUCGUCGGCAUUUAAUCCAAUUUGUGUUCUGCCGCUAUGGUUUGUGCACUAUGGAAAACAGCAGGCUGUAAAGGAUUCUCUUACUCGAUUUAUUGCAAGGAGAAAAUUUAAUACCUAUGCUACUCCCUUGUGUAUCAACACAUAUAAUAGUAUGCGACUGAAAUUUGAUGAACAUAUUCUCUUUUAAAAAGCCCUAGUUCGUUUUGCAUUUAAGUUGGUAAUUGAAUACAAUUUUUUUGACGCGCUGCUAAUUUAUGAAAAUGUUAUAUUUAUGCAACUUAUUUUCGUGGUUGUUUUGGCCAUGGUAAAGCUGGUCGGAUCGUUAGCGCUGUUGGCCAUUUUAAAUGCUGCGAACACAACUCAAUUAAGCCUGUUACUGACGAAGGCAGCGCCGACCUCCCACUUGGCCAUUUCCAUUUCCAUUCCGGGCUCAGAGUUAGAGGCGAUUCCGGACACUCUCCACGCCAAUCGACGGCAUUCGGACGAAGUAGGUAUGAAAUUGGGGUGGGUGGCCGAUGAGUUCGGUCCGGUUGGACUCGGCUGGUCCAGGCUGGGCUGGGAAUAUCUCUCUGCCCGGCUGGCAGGUGUACAAGUCGUUUUGCCACUCCAUUGCAGCAGAUUCGAACGCCUGUGCGAGUGUCCGUGUGCGUGUUAAUUACAUUUGGCUUGCAUUUGGGCAAAGUUGGCCAAAAUUGAAUUACAAGUUUUUCGCUCGCCAGCAUUUAGCAAAAGCGUUUUUUUCGUUUGCGCAAUUUAGCUACACAUGGCCUGAGUGCUCGUCUGAAUGAGGGAAAUUUUCUCUUUAUUUCAUUUUGGCAAAAGUUGAGCGAAACUUCCGGCUGGAAAAUACAACAAAAGAAAAGAGUUUUAAGGGUUGUACAAAGGAAAGAAGAGAAUAUCCAUACCUUCUUCUACCUUUUAGGCAGAACCUCUUUUUAAGCAUUUCUCAGCUUUUUUUUUUCCUUUAAGUUUAGUUUUUUCGUACUUUUUAUGAGUAUGUAAGAGAUUAAGGUCACAAGCCACGGAUCGAAGCCUUAUAACAAUUAAAUACGACCGUAUUUAUAUAUUACCGCAACAAAAACUUGGAUCUCAAUCUCUUAUAUGUGCAAAAUAUAUAUAACAAUAAGAAUAUAUUUAUGUAAUACAAUAACAUCGGCGACCCCCUAUCUGAGUCUGACAACGUACGUUUUAUCAUAAGUACUUAAACUUUUAGAAAAUGGUGAUCUUUAACUUAAUUAUAAAGCGUUACUCGAAGAGGAUGAGGGUACACCAUACUCGCUGCAAAGUAUGUAGCAGGCAAAAGGAAGCGUUUUCGACCAUAUAAAUUAUAUAUGUUCUUGAUUAGGAUCAAAAAACAAGUCGAUCUAGCCCUGUCCACGUCGAGACCCAGGAGCUGUUAAAUCUAGAAAGUUGAAAUUCAGCAUCAGAUUCUAGAGACAUGGGCGCAGCGCAAGGAAAAUGUCAAAAUUUCUUCUUCGCACUUCCUUCAGCUGAGUAAUAUUUUUAUAUCCGUUACUUGUAGAGUGAAAAGGAAUACCAGAUUCUUUUAAAGCAGCCCCUAUGCCUUUACGAUCGAAAAUUAGGUAAAUAUUGAUAAUGUUUCGAGUAUGUUUUGUUCUCAAUAUGUAACUAACUGGUUUAUAAAAUGAUGUCAGAGUCGCGUAUUUCAUUAUGCCCUUAUUGCUCAAAUAAAUAAAUAUUUUACCCAAAUUGUUGUGAAACUGUUCCUAUAUUGAUUUCAAACUUGCACAUGGUCCUUUUCAAUAAUGUAGAAACCAACAGUUUAGGAGAUAAAUCCCAUUCAAAGUAAAACCAUCAAAAAAUGUUUCUGGGCUUAUCGAACGAAGCAUGACUUCGGGUCGAAAGGAAAAUGCCCCGAAUAUGCAUGGUUUUUGUCCGUUUUGAACGGCUAAGAAAAGCCUAAAGAAACAAUCAUAAAAAUUGCCAAAGUGCAAAAUUUUUUCAUCAAAUCGUUGAUAAUAAAAAAAUACCACAAAAAAUAUCAAAAAAUUGCUGAAAAGCUUAUUGUCUAUCUAGGGAUUGGAUUCUAGUACCAUGACUUAUAUAUAUUUAUCCAUUCGUUACUCCUUCCUUAAAUCCAUUUUAAAUAAAGGAAGAAGCACCCAACUACUAAACCAUUUAAGUUAAGUUUCUCUGAAUAGCUUUGCGAUCCUUGUUUACUUCUUGCACAUAAAAAGCUGUUAUGUGGACUCCGUAAAUUUGGUCAAGAAACCCGAGCCUUUUGUCCAUGCUAACCGGUUCCUGCAGUCAUCAUUAACCUUUCCGCGCGCACAUAAUUAAUGAGCCUAGCCAUUGUCUUCUUUGUUUUCCAGCCCCGCCACGCCUUCAAUGCAAUCAGCCUGCAAACAAGUGAAAACUUUGAGGAGGGAGCGCAGGAAGUCCGGAAGAGCACCGCUUGCAUAAUAGAAAUUCAUUGCCAAAUUGCACAGAAAAUCGCUGUGGUGCUAAGAAGGUGCCGCUGGGCAAGUUGGCCGCAUCUUGAAAGUUAUUCAACUGAACUCUUACCAUCCCAUCCCAUAGGGGAACAGCGAUUUUAAUUACCGCAAACGGCACUAGAUUUUAAUUAAGGGAUGGGCGCCCUGCCCAAAGAGCACUCUCGACUUGACUUUAAUUAAAACAUUAUCAGGACAAAAGCGGCCUUCGUUCCCCUGCUCAGGGUCGAAUAGUCUCCAGGAUCCAGUCCAUGUAGUCGGCUACCCGUGUGUAGACACCUGGCCAGCCCUCUAGUCCGCAGCGGUUGCCAAAGGAGACCACGCCCUCUUGGUACCACGCCUGGUCGAACCCCCUUCGCAUCAGCGGUCCGCCGGAGUCGCCAUCGCAGCUGUCGCGGUAGAAUUCCCCGCCAACACAGAGCUGGGAACUGAUCAGGUGGAUAUUCCUCGUGGCGAACUUACGCUCGCAGUAAUCGUGGUCGUUCACGGGCAGAUCCAAUCGCUGCUUGAUGGUGCUCUUCCGGGCUGUGAAUAAGAACUUUAAUCAAUAAAGGUACAUAUUUUAGGGUA